AGAGUUUGAUCMUGGCUCAGGWYGAACGCURGYDRCRBGBHUHANRCAUGCAAGUCGAGGGGCAGCAUGAAAGUAGCUUGCUACUUUUGAUGGCGACCGGCGCACGGGUGCGUAACGCGUAUCCAAUCUACCCAUGGCUCAGGGAUAGCCUUUCGAAAGAAAGAUUAAUACCUGAUGGUUUCGCUUUUCCGCAUGGUUUAGCGAAUAAAGAUUUAUCGGCGAUGGAUGAGGAUGCGACUGAUUAGGUUGUUGGCGGGGUAACGGCCCACCAAGCCCACGAUCAGUAGGGGUUCUGAGAGGAAGGUCCCCCACAUUGGAACUGAGACACGGUCCAAACUCCUACGGGAGGCAGCAGUGAGGAAUAUUGGUCAAUGGACGAGAGUCUGAACCAGCCAAGUAGCGUGAAGGAUGACGGCCCUAUGGGUUGUAAACUUCUUUUGUUUGGGAAUAAAGUGCUCUACGUGUAGAGUUUUGUAUGUACCUUACGAAUAAGCAUCGGCUAAUUCCGUGCCAGCAGCCGCGGUAAUACGGAAGAUGCGAGCGUUAUCCGGAUUUAUUGGGUUUAAAGGGAGCGUAGGCGGACCUUUAAGUCAGCGGUAAAAUGUCAAUGCCCAACAUUGGCCCGCCGUUGAUACUGUUGGUCUUGAAUACACACAAGGAAGGUGGAAUUCGUUGUGUAGCGGUGAAAUGCUUAGAUAUGACGAAGAACUCCGAUUGCGAAGGCAGCCUUCUGGGGUGCGAUUGACGCUGAGGCUCGAAAGUGCGGGUAUCAAACAGGAUUAGAUACCCUGGUAGUCCGCACAGUAAACGAUGAAUGCUCGUUCUUGGUGAUAUACUAUCAGGAACCAAGGGAAACCAUUAAGCAUUCCACCUGGGGAGUACGCCGGCAACGGUGAAACUCAAAGGAAUUGACGGGGGCCCGCACAAGCGGUGGAUUAUGUGGUUUAAUUCGAAGCAACGCGAAGAACCUUACCAGGGCUUGACAUCCUACUAACGAGGUAGAGAUACGUUAGGUGCCCUUCGGGGAAAGUAGAGACAGGUGGUGCAUGGUUGUCGUCAGCUCGUGUCGUGAGAUGUUGGGUUAAGUCCCGCAACGAGCGCAACCCUUAUUGUUAGUUGCUACGCAAGAGCACUCUAGCGAGACUGCCGUUGACAAAACGGAGGAAGGUGGGGACGACGUCAAAUCAUCAUGCCCCUUAUGUCCUGGGCUACACACGUAAUACAAUGGCGGUCAACAGAGGGAUGCAAAGCCGCAAGGCAGAGCGAACCCCUAAAAGCCGUCCCAGUUCAGAUUGUGGGCUGCAACCCGCCCACAUGAAGUCGGAAUCGCUAGUAAUCGCGGAUCAGCAUGCCGCGGUGAAUACGUUCCCGGGCCUUGUACACACCGCCCGUCACACCAUGAGAGUCGGGAACACCCGAAGUCCGUAGCCUAACCGCAUGGGGGGCGCGGCCGAAGGUGGGUUCGAUAAUUGGGGUGAAGUCGUAACAAGGUAGCC
This 1496-nucleotide ribosomal RNA is filed under the name uncultured rumen bacterium. Its description in RNAcentral is "partial 16S rRNA". It matches the Rfam family "Bacterial small subunit ribosomal RNA". The record is from RNAcentral.